UGGGGAAUUUUGGACAAUGGGCGCAAGCCUGAUCCAGCAAUGCCGCGUGCGGGAAGAAGGCCUUCGGGUUGUAAACCGCUUUUGGCAGGAACGAAACGGUGUCCGCUAAUACCGGGCGCUAAUGACGGUACCUGCAGAAUAAGCACCGGCUAACUACGUGCCAGCAGCCGCGGUAAUACGUAGGGUGCGAGCGUUAAUCGGAAUUACUGGGCGUAAAGCGUGCGCAGGCGGUUGUGUAAGACAGGCGUGAAAUCCCCGGGCUCAACUGGGAAUGGCGCUUGUGACUGCACGGCUGGAGUGCGGCAGAGGGGGAUGGAAUUCCGCGUGUAGCAGUGAAAUGCGUAGAUAUGCGGAGGAACACCGAUGGCGAAGGCAAUCCCCUGGGCCUGCACUGACGCUCAUGCACGAAAGCGUGGGGAGCAAACAGGAUUAGAUACCCUGGUAGUCCACGCCCUAAACGAUGUCGACUGGUUGUUGGGUCUUAGGUGACUCAGUAACGAAGCUAACGCGUGAAGUCGACCGCCUGGGGGAGUACGGCCGCAAGGUUGAAAC
This 552-nucleotide ribosomal RNA is filed under the name uncultured bacterium. Its description in RNAcentral is "partial 16S ribosomal RNA". It matches the Rfam family "Bacterial small subunit ribosomal RNA", at positions 355 to 900 of the family's 1533-position model. The record is from RNAcentral.